This 4391-nucleotide long non-coding RNA is filed under the name Xyrichtys novacula (pearly razorfish). Lineage: Eukaryota; Metazoa; Chordata; Actinopteri; Labriformes; Labridae. The record is from RNAcentral.
CUUUGUUGGAUCAUUGUGUGUUGUAUGUAUGUUUCAAGGUGUGCAUGUGCAAGUGUCUCCAGUGUCUCCUUGUGAUUUGUCCCCCAAUGCCUUCGUUGGAUUUUAGGAGUAAGUUUUUGUCGCCUUAUUUAGUUCUUUUUUUUCGUCCUGCAUUUGGUCUUUUUCUUUGUUUAACCCUACAAGGGCGUCACAUAUUUCAUGUUUCAUGUGUUCUUAGAGGAGAUUUAAAGGCAAAGCUGAUCUUUGAACUGAUGGUCAUAACCAUAACCAGGAGCUUUAAAGGGGGAAAAAAAACUCUUUGCACAUUUAAGAAAUUUAUACUUGCAUUAAAGUGUGACAGGAUUCAAUAUUGGCUCCAGUUUCAGAGAGCUGAGAAGUUUAUAAAAGAAGUAAAGGGUCUUCACUGUGAGUGAGGAUUUAAAACCCACUCAGACUGAGCUGUUCCCACAGGUAAGUGACCACAGGUGUGAUAUGUGGAUGUAUAAAACUGUGUGUGACCUGAGAUGAAGAGGAGUUUCAGGGACUGUUGUCACAUUUAACACACUUUAAGCCUCUUUACACACACAGGUACAGGUUACACAGGUGUGCAGACCUGUUUUACCUGAUGUGUUAGGACGUCCUUCGCUUUGUCACACCUGUUAUCCGAGGACUCGCUGCAUUGUGAUAAUUUGUGAGAGCAUGAGGCUGAACUUUAAUCAUCAAAACUUGACACAACUUCAGUCCAGGAGGAAGUUUAGCAGAUAUGAGGAUUUGUAAAAGUUUGUUUUGAAUGAAAAGUACCGUGUUAACAUGCUGAUAAGAGUUUUAUCUCUUAGACUCAGCUUUACAGGAUUUUGAACUUUCAUUUCAUCCUUUUUUUUGGCACUCAGCAUCAAUAUAAACUCAUACACUCAAAUAUCUGCAUCCUAAAAAAUAUCUAUCUCCUAUUAUCAGUCAUUUAAUUCUUAUUUAUUGGUAAAAUCUCAUCCAUGUGUGAGAGCACGACUGAUUUUCUGAUUAAUGUCCGCUUCUGUGCCAGUUUUGGCGAACUAAUCCACUCAGUUGAAGUGGUAAAAACACGUCUGUUUCCUCACUUUGAGAACAUUUCUCACAGCCGUAGUGACGAAUAAUGAGAGCACAAUAACAUCCAGCGAAUGCUCAUCUCCGAGCACAAACACUCAAAGUCAUUAAAAAACUACACAGAGACGGAUGCGUCGUUUGAAACCAGAUGCUCUGUGGGCUGAGCCUCGACACUGAUUAACUGUUAUAAACUGCUCCGUCUCCCUACACAGAAACAUCCUACCGACAAGAUGAUGGUGUUAAUUUACCGACAUCAUUUAGAUAAAGGGGAGGCGCAGCUUACACAAACAGAUGUGGUCUGUGUGGGACUGUAACACAACUAUAGCAGUUUCUUUCAUUACGAUACAGGAUACAGUUAAAGCUACUCAAUCACAUCAAGUAUGAAUCAAAUUCACACUGUGAUGUAAAACAAAAUGUAGGAAUUAAGGUUUUCUCGUGAAACAAGUAGAUAAAAUAUGCAAAAAGGCGUAAUAGAGCUCAAGGGAACUGCUGAGUCUGGUUGCCGAGCUCUCUUGAAUACCUCGCUGUGAUUCUCAGUCUUGUUACUGUCACGAGUGAUUUUAGACAUCAAGCGAAGUUCGUGUUUUGUUUGUCUAUCACGACUUGGAAAACCUCACAGCAGCCUCUGACAGUUUAUUUUAACACACUCCCUGUUAAAAAGCAUGGUAUGUAAGUCAGACUGGAGGAUAUCAACACUGUCAGCAAAGGAGGAAAGAAAACAUCAAAACAAAGCCCCAAGGCUGUUUAGUGAACCGUCUAAGGUCUUUAAUUAAAUCAUGUCUAAGAAUAAAGUUUGUUGAAUUGUUUGACAGAUCCUUUUAAAACUCUCUCAGCCACUGUCGAGGGAUCUGUCAUGUUUAUUCGACACUUUCCCCCCUCGUCACGUUACAUAAUCUUGCUAAAUCAACUAUUGAUGCAGCAGCAAUUUGGGCAGUCAGCACUUAAUCAUAAUUACCAAAGCAGCAACAUAAAUCAUUCUGAUUAAAAUAAACACCAACUGAAAGUAUAUGUCAGCUUCAAUACAUCUCUGAGACGCCAUUUUUAUGAAUGGGUUUACAAAACAAACGAGUGUAGAAACAGGUGUCUCUAAUGGAGCUGAUCACAGUGUGAUCGAAAAAUCGUUUUUUCAGUGAUUUUUUUUUCUUCUCUUCCGUCAUUUUAAGGUUUUAUGAAAAGUGUUAAAGGGAUAUUCCGGCGUAAAAUUAAUUUAGGGUCAAACACACCGUAACACGGGAGAUAAAUGUUGCACGAUAGCAAUACACAGUGGUCUGAGGAGCCAUAAACAAACCUCAACCAAAAUGCCACUCUAUAGCCACAAAUAAUGCUCAGAACAGCACCUAACUUCAUCAACAGUACAUAUAGGGUCCCAGCCAUAGUACUAGCAACGAAACAUCUUUUUAACUUUACCUAAUUUCUUAUUAAAGAGAUUAAACACAACUCACCUACUCUCUUCCAGCAGCCGCUUGUUUGUAGCAAGAGCUCGGGAUAGUCCAUUACAGACUACAGUGGGGUGACGCAGCUCAAGGAAGAACAUUUAUGAUCAUUUCUUUAUCAUUUCCAUGAAGUAAUAAUCAUCAUAUUUUGCACUGCAGACGCUGUAGUUCUUCUGCCUUAGCGUCUCUUAAAAAAAGAAAAAUUAGUCAAAGUUAAAAAGAUGUUUGGUGUCUAGUACUAUGGCUAGGACCCUAUAUGUCCUGUUGAUGAAGUAAGGUGCUGUUCUGAGCAUUAUUUGUGGCUAUAGAGUGGCGUUUUGGUUGACAGAAGCCCUGUUUGAGCAAAUAUAUUUGACUUCUACUUUAAUUUAAAUUGACCUAUGACCCAUGUUACAACAGUUAACAUGGGGAAGGUGCAGAUUAUGAACAAUACUGCAGCCAGUCAGCAGGGGGAGCUCUAAAUCUUUGGCCUCAUAGAUGGUGAACACUUGUGACACCUGUUUUAAUAUACAGUCUAUGUUCAGAGCUCGUUUUGAAGAUGAAAGAUCAUGUUUCUAGUGACAUACAAAUUUUUAUUUUUUUUAAAGUACUUUUUGGGGCGAUUUUUGCCUUUUUAUUGAUCGAACAGAGUGAAAUCUGGGAAGAUAGAGAGAGAGAGAGAGAGAGGGGGAGGACAUGCAGCACAUGGUCGGGGCCAGACUCAAACCUGCGACCGCUGCGGGGACCGUGAUCUCUGUACAUGGGGUGCACUAACCUGCUCGGCCAUCUGCGUGCCCCGUGACAUACGAAACUUAAGAUGUCAUCAGUGCUUCAUAGAACCUAAGAGGAGUACAGGUCAGAGGUUAAAGUACUUCAGAGAGAUUUCAUUAAAAUUUAUUAUGUCUUUACCUUACUCAGAGCACAAAUAAACUACUGAAAUAGAUGAUCUGUCCCAUUAUAAGACAACUAAUAUAACAAAAACAAAGAAAAACUAAGAAGUAAAGUCAUCAUCCUUGGGAAAUACCAAAUCUGACUCUUCUUUCUUUAGACAUUUUCUUAAAUUGCAAUCAUUCAUUCAACUCUUUAAAUCCUUAUCUAGAGUUUACCACCUUAAGUAUGUCUAAUGCACUGGAGUCUUUAUAGUCCUCUACAUUUACAUUUGUAUUUUUGAGCUCAGCCUUUCUUUUUUUGCUGAACUGCAGUUCCGCCUCUCACCAGUAGAAGGAGCAGUUCACCAAGGUAAAAACUGGUCUCAUGAGGAGGGGAAGCUUUACCCUGUCCUCCUCGUCAGGUCUCAUGAGGAUAGCGUGUGUACAGGAUAUAAUGUGAGUGUGUGUGUGUGUGUGUGUGUGUGUGUGUGUGUGUGUGUUUUCUGAGAUGAAGCAGAGGUCGGGUACUGUCGAGGAGUCACACUGACGGCUGGAGUGAAAACAAAAGGGCCCUGGAGGACAGUGGGAAGAUUUUUGACUUACAGGGAAAAAUCAUGCUUGAUGGCAUGAUUCCCAAAGUGCUUUUCUGACAUCCCAGGAUAUUGAUGUCUGUAUUUCAGAGCUGGAUCUUGACUGUGAUGUUAUUUUUUACCUCUAACCUCCAGCGCUGUUUUGUCAGGUUGAUGAUGUAGAAGGAAAACAACUUGACUCCCUGGCUGCACACCAACACUUCCUCUUCUGUCCCAAAGAUGACAAAUGACUCAGAGGCAGAGAGAGUGAUGUCAACCUAAAAAGAGGAUCCACCGACUCCAGGAGAACAUCCCCGUCCGAGCGCAGGAGCUGGCGUCUGCCGGGCACAGUCAGCAACAAAUACUGAAUUAAUAAGAUCACAGGCUUUUGUGGAUGUAAGCAUACUGUAUGAUUUAGUGUCUGCUGACUGAAUAUUUAGCCGUUUUUUAAGGUUUCUGGAAAGUGAUGAAGUAACCCAGGU